UUCUAUGAUGAUAACUUUCUCAGACCUGUACCGAUUUUCCGCAAGGAGUAUGCGGAUAACACACAUUGCCUUUUUUCCUGAUC
This 83-nucleotide small nucleolar RNA is filed under the name Grifola frondosa (maitake). RNAcentral describes it as "Small nucleolar RNA snR56". It matches the Rfam family "Small nucleolar RNA snR56". Lineage: Eukaryota; Fungi; Basidiomycota; Agaricomycetes; Polyporales; Grifolaceae. The record is from Rfam by way of RNAcentral.